CUAUUUCCUGGGCAGAAUGAGAACAUAAACUGUGAAAGUAAACAGUCACCUAAAGAAAUUGCAGUAUGAAGAGGAGCCAUAUGCAGCAGCUGCCAGUGAUGCCAGAGACCAACAUCUGCUGACCAGAAGAGAAGGACGUGAUUUACUGCGGUUGAAUUUUUACAAUUUUUAAUGGAAUCUUUUCCUACCACUUAAAAAAAAUUAUUUGAGGCAGAAAAGGCCUGAUAAGACAUUCUGCUUCCAUGAAGACACAGUGAUGAACAAGACUGGCAUAAUCGCUCCUUGAGUCUGGCUGGGAAGACAAGCUUUAAGCAAGUCAUUCAAAGGUGACCAGUGCCGAAAGUGGGGGGUCCUAUGGAAACACAACAGAGAGAGCUACUCUGGUUGAAGCAAGGACAGGAACAGCUAACACUGGAGCCAGGGUUAAAGUCAGCUAAACUGUGCACAGCUUGGGGCUGGGGGAAGCACAGAGUGUGUCAGGAAUUGAAGGCCAGUGUAACUGUGGCCCAAGGCAGGACAGAGAGGCAGGGUCUGGCAGGUGCGAGUUAGGAACUGUGGACACCACAAAGACAAGGGAGGGGCAUGAGGUGGUGAACUUUCUGUGAAGGAGACGAGCUCAGGGGAGAGCAGGGGUGGGUGGAGGAGACCCACCUGGAGGUGAGUUCAGCAGCCCCUGUUGCCUACUGGACACACAGCUUACAGGUGACAGCAUGAUGGGCUAUGUGGUGG
This 729-nucleotide long non-coding RNA is filed under the name Pan troglodytes (chimpanzee). RNAcentral's name for it is "long non-coding RNA NONPTRT015369". The record is from RNAcentral. Lineage: Eukaryota; Metazoa; Chordata; Mammalia; Primates; Hominidae.